AUGCUGCCGGCUGGCGUCAAGUUCGAUCCCACGGAUCAGGAGCUGAUCGAGCACCUUGAGGCCAAAGUGAGUGCGGACAGCGCGAGAUCUCACCCUCUCAUCGAUUUGUUCAUACCAACCAUCGACAGCGAGCACGGCAUAUGCUACACCCAUCCUGAGAAACUUCCAGGUAUCACACUGAGUGGCCUAAGCAAGCAUUUCUUCCAGCACAAUUCCAGGGCGUUCAAAAGGGGCACGUGGACGCGUCGCAAGAUACAGUCGGAGUGCGGCAUGCACACGAUGUGGCACAACACCGGCAAUACCUUGCCGGUGAUGGUCAACGGCCGGCAGACGGGCAGCAAAAAGGUUCUGGUGAUGCACACCAACAAGAACUUCGACCAGUAG
This 384-nucleotide ribosomal RNA is filed under the name Triticum aestivum (bread wheat). RNAcentral describes it as "partial small subunit ribosomal RNA". The record is from RNAcentral. Lineage: Eukaryota; Viridiplantae; Streptophyta; Magnoliopsida; Poales; Poaceae.